AUGCUCUGGAAGACGAGUACUUGGUGAAUCUAAGGAAGUUUCAGGUUAUGAUCUGCUGUGGUUUCAGUGUACUACCCCCAAAAUACUCAUGCGUGAAACACAAUCCUAACACAACAUUGUGAAUCCCUUAGAGUCUUCUGCACUUCUGUGAUUAACUCCAAAGCUCAGAAAUCUUUUAAAAUAUAUACAUGAAAAAAAUAUUUCAAUAAUAGUAAAAGAAGCUAUGAGUGUUUCUCCAAGCUGCCUCCUUAUGUCUGGAGAACCCGCUGUUAUGGAGGGAAGAGGGAAGAAGCAACAGACGCAGGGCCAGCUGAGAGUCAGCAGUCACAACCACCUCAGGAGCCUUUCCCAGAGCUGCUUGCGAAAGGGAUGCACAGAGGAGGACUUACAAGAGGCAUACAGUUUCCCCGGAAUGGUUUAUGCUGAGGUUGUCUAGUAAGACAGUUAUUUCAUAACUCUCCAGAGAGAAAACCAGGUAGCAUCAAGGACUCAAAAUGGCAGUAAAGUGCUACUUCUACAUUUUAUUUUAAUUAAUUUUCGACUUCCAUAUGCGAAAAGUGGUGUACUUGUCUGUGAGUAUAUCUGAAUGUUUGGGGGUGCAUGUAGAAGCCAUGGGUGAUUUUUAGGAUCACACCUCCUCAUAAUUCACUGAGGCAGGGUCUCUCAAUCAAACCUAGAUCUUGAAGACUCAGCUAAUCUCCCUAGCUAGCUAGCUUGCUCUGAGGAUCCCUUGGCCUUUGAAAGCUUGAAUUGUAGGCAGGCCUCUAUGCCCAGCUGUCAUUUCCAUGGGUUCCUGGGAAUUCAAACUCCAAUUGUCACAAUGUACUUAAGCACCAAAUCAUCUCCAGCUCUACAUUCAAAUUUUAGAAAUUUUCAAGUGACAAUUCUGUGUGACCCACCUCCACCCCCAGACACUUUCAGUUCCAUGUGGCCUCUGAAAAUUUACCUCCUAUGCAUUUUCCCAAGAAGCGACUGCAAGAUGUCCCCCACCCCCAGCCCAAGGCACAAACCAACAACAAACAAUACUACAACAACAAAAUCAAUUAACCAACCAACAACAACAAGGAACCAAGACUUGCAAUCCAAGAAAAGAAGGCUCUAAGCCAGAUCACACAACAAAGGGAAACCCAGGUGAACAAGUCUAGGCCAGAGCAGGAGGAUGGGAGAUGCAGGAGGGGCUAUCUGAGUGACAGACAAUGGAGGGCAUGGAGGCUGGGAAUAGAGACAGCAUUGGGCACCCAGUAGGUCUGCAGGGGCACUGGGGAAGAACUUGACACAGGUAGGCAGUAAAACCAGUCUUUUAAAGAUAAUGAGUAGCUCAGGAAAACACCGCUGAACAGUUGUACAGGCAAAGAAACACCACCUCCCUCGGUUCUCUCUCUAGUGGAGAAUGUUUAAAUCAUCCUCAUAGUGGAAACCCAACUGCAGGGUCUGCCACACAAGGCGUGGCUAUCAGGAUGGGGAGGGGUGAGGAGGGCUUGUGUUAAAAGGGGCCAAUCCUUCUCACUGGGAGUCAGUAGGCAAUGUUAAAAAAAACAACAACAAAAAAAAAAAAAAAAACAAUAAGACUGCAUUCAAGACGUCUGAGUGAGGGCAGUGAUGUGGAAAGAAAAAGCAAAAAUAAAAAAAAAAAAAAAACUAAAAGAGUUCAAAGAGGUUCCUCUGGGAAGUGGGGCUGGGCCUGAGAAAGACUGCUGCUGUUUGACUUUUAAUCUAUGUUUUUUUAUGAAACGGAUAAAAAUAAAAAGGAAUUUAAAAA
This 1759-nucleotide long non-coding RNA is filed under the name Mus pahari (shrew mouse). Its description in RNAcentral is "ataxin 7-like 1, opposite strand 1 (MGP_PahariEiJ_G0003851.1)". Lineage: Eukaryota; Metazoa; Chordata; Mammalia; Rodentia; Muridae. The record is from RNAcentral.